GGGUUACCAUCCAUUGACCCAUCAGGCAGCUCCCCAUCUUCCUCUUCUGCUCCUCUGGCAAGUUUUUCCGGCAUACCAGGAACAAGGGUUUUCCUGCAAGGGCCAGCUCCUGUUGGGACUCCUAGUUUCAACAGACAACAUUUUUCUCCCCAUCCUUGGACAAGCGCCUCAAACUCAUCCACUUCUGCCCCACCAACGUUGGGCCAACCAAAAGGAGUCAGUGCCAGUCAAGAUCGAAAGAUACCUCCCCCAAUUGGAACAGAGAGACUGGCCCGAAUUCGGCAAGGAGGGUCUGUUGCACAAGCCCCGGCGGGGACCAGUUUUGUCGCUCCCGUUGGACACAGUGGAAUCUGGUCAUUUGGUGUCAAUGCUGUGUCAGAAGGCUUAUCAGGUUGGUCGCAAUCUGUGAUGGGGAACCAUCCAAUGCAUCAACAAUUAUCAGACCCAAGCACAUUCUCCCAACAUCAGCCAAUGGAGAGAGAUGAUUCUGGAAUGGUAGCCCCCUCUAACAUUUUUCAUCAGCCUAUGGCAAGUGGGUCUGCCAAUUUCCAUGUAUGGAGGCACCAUAAUACCCUCUCAUCCUCAGCUUGCUGAUGUUCCAGGAGGCCCUCUGUUUAAUGGACUUCACAAUCCAGAUCCUGCUUGGAACCCUAUGAUAAAAGUUAUCCAAAAUUCAACUGAAUGCACUGAUGCCCAGCAGGCCAGUCUGCUUCCUUCAGUCCCUGCUCUCAAAGGGGAAAUCCCAUCACCUCAGCUAACCAGACCGAAGAAGAGAAUUGGACGGCCGAUGGUGGCCUCUCCUAACCAGAGGCACCAGGAUCAUCUACGACCGAAAGUUCCUGCUGGAGUGCAAGAACUCACCCAUUGCCCGGACACCCCCCUGCUGCCUCCCUCAGAUUCCCGGGGUCACAACUCCUCCAACAGCCCCUCUCUCCAAGCUGGAGGAGCUGAAGGAGCAGGAGACAGAGGAAGAGAUACCCGAUGACGCACAAUUUGAAAUGGACAUCUAAUCCAGUGCAGAUGACCUGGCAUGUGGAGUUACAGAGGGAUCCCUCAUGCCACUGCUGCCACCACCUCUUCCUGGGGCAUCCAAAGGCCAGCUGGCCUCAUCUAAUCUGGAAGGGAGUGACUUGUUAGUUCCAGGCCUCCUUUAGUUCUGAGGCAGCUAGACCAGGGAUAGGAGUGGGCAACUUGCCAAGCCCUUAACUCUACUUCCUCUUCAGUCUGUGGUACUCCUCCUAACCCUAAACCCUCUAUGCUCAGGGGCUGGAACUGGGGAAUGGAGUAAGUCACCUUCUGACUGCUUAGUAAACAUUCAAA
This 1320-nucleotide long non-coding RNA is filed under the name Homo sapiens (human). RNAcentral describes it as "long non-coding RNA NONHSAT203310.1". The record is from RNAcentral. Lineage: Eukaryota; Metazoa; Chordata; Mammalia; Primates; Hominidae.